UGUUGAUACGGUGCAGGCAGGAGACGGU
Molecule: non-coding RNA, 28 nt
Filed under: Homo sapiens (human)
Lineage: Eukaryota; Metazoa; Chordata; Mammalia; Primates; Hominidae
Source: RNAcentral